GUGCUCACUUCGGCAGCACAUAUAUUAAAAUUGGAAUGAUACAGAGAAGAUUAGCAUGGCCCCUACACAAGGAUGACACACAAAUUCAUGAAGCAUUCCAUACUUAA
Molecule: small nuclear RNA, 107 nt
Organism: Otolemur garnettii (small-eared galago)
Lineage: Eukaryota; Metazoa; Chordata; Mammalia; Primates; Galagidae
Source: Ensembl